UACAGAGGUCCCGAGCGUUGUUCGGAUUUAUUGGGCGUAAAGGGCGCGUAGGCGGCCUUGCAAGUGGCGGGUGAAAUCCCUCGGCUUAACCGAGGAACUGCCUGCCAGACUGCAAGGCUCGAGACCGGGAGAGGUGAGUGGAAUUCCCAGUGUAGCGGUGAAAUGCGUAGAUAUUGGGAGGAACACCAGUGGCGAAGGCGGCUCACUGGACCGGAACUGACGCUGAGGCGCGAAAGCGUGGGGAGCAAACAGG
RNAcentral lists this ribosomal RNA (253 nucleotides) under uncultured bacterium. Its description in RNAcentral is "partial 16S ribosomal RNA". It matches the Rfam family "Bacterial small subunit ribosomal RNA", at positions 524 to 776 of the family's 1533-position model. The record is from RNAcentral.